ACGAACGCUGGCGGCGUGCCUCAUACAUGCCAGUCGAACGCUUCUUUCCUCCCGAGUGCUUGCACUCAAUUGGAAAGAGGAGUGGCGGACGGGUGAGUAACACGUGGGUAACCUACCCAUCAGAGGGGGAUAACACUUGGAAACAGGUGCUAAUACCGCAUAACAGUUUAUGCCGCAUGGCAUAAGAGUGAAAGGCGCUUUCGGGUGUCGCUGAUGGAUGGACCCGCGGUGCAUUAGCUAGUUGGUGAGGUAACGGCUCACCAAGGCCACGAUGCAUAGCCGACCUGAGAGGGUGAUCGGCCACACUGGGACUGAGACACGGCCCAGACUCCUACGGGAGGCAGCAGUAGGGAAUCUUCGGCAAUGGACGAAAGUCUGACCGAGCAACGCCGCGUGAGUGAAGAAGGUUUUCGGAUCGUAAAACUCUGUUGUUAGAGAAGAACAAGGACGUUAGUAACUGAACGUCCCCUGACGGUAUCUAACCAGAAAGACACGGCUAACUACGUG
RNAcentral lists this ribosomal RNA (507 nucleotides) under uncultured bacterium. RNAcentral's name for it is "partial 16S ribosomal RNA". It matches the Rfam family "Bacterial small subunit ribosomal RNA", at positions 29 to 507 of the family's 1533-position model. The record is from RNAcentral.